Molecule: ribosomal RNA, 253 nt
Filed under: uncultured bacterium
Lineage: Bacteria
Description: partial 16S ribosomal RNA
Rfam family: Bacterial small subunit ribosomal RNA
Source: RNAcentral
UACGUAGGGGGCAAGCGUUGUCCGGAUUUAUUGGGCGUAAAGAGCGUGUAGGCGGCCGUACAGGUCAGCUGUGAAAACUCGAGGCUCAACCUCGAGACGUCGGUUGAAACCGUACGGCUAGAGUCCGGAAGAGGAGAGUGGAAUUCCCGGUGUAGCGGUGAAAUGCGCAGAUAUCGGGAAGAACACCCGUGGCAAAGGCGGCUCUCUGGGACGGUACUGACGCUGAGACGCGAAAGCGUGGGGAGCGAACAGG